UACGUAGGGUGCGAGCGUUGUCCGGAAUUAUUGGGCGUAAAGAGCUCGUAGGCGGUGUGUCACGUCGGCCGUGAAAACCUGGGGCUCAACUCUGGGCGUGCGGUCGAUACGGGCAUCACUUGAGUUCGGCAGGGGAGACUGGAAUUCCUGGUGUAGCGGUGAAAUGCGCAGAUAUCAGGAGGAACACCGGUGGCGAAGGCGGGUCUCUGGGCAGUAACUGACGCUGAGGAGCGAAAGCGUGGGGAGCGAACAGG
Molecule: ribosomal RNA, 254 nt
Filed under: uncultured bacterium
Lineage: Bacteria
Description: partial 16S ribosomal RNA
Rfam family: Bacterial small subunit ribosomal RNA
Source: RNAcentral